This 244-nucleotide small RNA is filed under the name Oryza sativa Japonica Group (Japanese rice). RNAcentral's name for it is "misc RNA Os9bglu31". Lineage: Eukaryota; Viridiplantae; Streptophyta; Magnoliopsida; Poales; Poaceae. The record is from RNAcentral.
UUUGAAUAGGGUCUUAGAAUGAAUGGUCUCUCUUCUUCCCCUGGUUUUUGGUUCUUCUGUUUACAGACCAAUGAUGGGUCAAUGUCAGUCAAAUUGUGUGAUUUAGAUCAAUGGGUCAAAGUGUAUGAUGUGAUUGUGUAAUUGUGUCGAUUAUAUAUAAAAUUUUGAAGUCUCUCGUAGUUUGAAUUUGAAAUUGUACACACUACGUAUAGGAUAGUGGUUAUAAAUUUUGAAUUUUGAUGCG